UGGCCUCCUUCCACCCCUACUGCAGUUCAGUAGUACCGGGAAUAUCCACCCCGAUGUGUGCAGUAUGUUACCGACCAUGUUUCCCAACGGUUGGGCGCUCCCCCUCGAUUAGGGUAUUUCGGUCAGCAUCAGGCCUAGCGUCAGACGUUGAGCUGACGCACUUCAGCCUUAGCGAUCAUUAGCACCUAGUCUUACAGUGCCACUUAUGCAAGGGCCCAGAACAUGUGUGGCGGGCAGUGUGGUACCCUCGCCCAAGACGGUCUUCAUCAAUCGGAUUGGCGUUCCUCCCGCUAAUGGUGCCGUCCCAAGCACUGACCCCACUUCAGCAUUGUUCCAUUGGCAUUUCCCGCUUAAGACGUCUAUAGGUAGUGUGACCGCCGG
RNAcentral lists this ribosomal RNA (381 nucleotides) under uncultured bacterium. RNAcentral describes it as "partial 16S ribosomal RNA". The record is from RNAcentral.